Molecule: microRNA precursor, 196 nt
Filed under: Oryza glumipatula
Lineage: Eukaryota; Viridiplantae; Streptophyta; Magnoliopsida; Poales; Poaceae
Description: MIR812 microRNA precursor family
Rfam family: MIR812 microRNA precursor family
Source: Rfam by way of RNAcentral
AAUAAGUGCAGCCGUGGAUAUCUGUGCCCAACGUUUGACCGUCCGUCUUAUUUAAAAAAUUUGAAAAUAUUUAGUCACACAUAAAUACUAUUCAUGUUUUAUCAUCUAAUAGCAAUAAAAAUACUAAUCAUAAAUUUUUUUCAAAUAAGACGAACAGUCAAAUGUUGAACAUGAAUAGUGCAAAACUGCACUUAUU